AAUCUGCAGAGACAGAAAGUACAUUAGUGUUUGCCUAGGACUGAGGGAAAUGGGGAAUGACUGCUAAUGGGUAUGUGUUUUUUUCUAGGGUGAUGACAUGUUCUAAAAUUGAUUGUGGUGAUAGCAUGAUGCUGUGAAUAUACUAAAAAACCAUCAAAUUAUUCACUUUAAGUAGCCCAGCAUAGUCUUGGCUCUUCCUUUUCAACCUGAGAAGAUUCUUCAAGAUUGAGCUUAAAUGAAGGCAGGAGAGAGUAGUGGUUAAAAGCCUGUGUUUGAACUCAAGCUCUGCACAGUGUCCUUAGAGCACAGGCUCCAGGCGCACAGGCUCAGCGGCCAUGGCUCACGGGCCC
Non-coding RNA from Delphinapterus leucas (beluga whale), 350 nucleotides. The record is from RefSeq and is a predicted model, not a curated record. NCBI's taxonomy places the organism in Eukaryota, Metazoa, Chordata, Mammalia, Artiodactyla, Monodontidae.